Molecule: long non-coding RNA, 433 nt
Filed under: Actinidia chinensis (golden kiwifruit)
Lineage: Eukaryota; Viridiplantae; Streptophyta; Magnoliopsida; Ericales; Actinidiaceae
Description: long non-coding RNA (ACHI_LNC000098)
Source: RNAcentral
UGUUUUUCUUUCUUCUAUCGUAUCUGUCAAAGAACCUGAUACCUUUGCAGAAGCAGCAUCCCAGAAGUGUCGGCAACCGGCCGAGGAAAUCGAUGCCUUACAGCAUAAUCUUGGACUCCAUGCGCAGUCUGAGAUAUAAAACCACCUGACCUUUCUGAGUCGCUUACUUUAGCUUCCCCUCCCACCGCCCAUGGAAAAGAAUUCCUUUAUUCUUCAGCCUUAAAAGAAAGCUUGUUGUUAUUCCUUCCCCGAGCAAACUUUCUCUGAGCCUACAGCCCGAUCCAUCUUAGUUCGAUUAGGAAGUCCACGCACAACGAGAGCGAAGUCAUGCGAACUCAGAAGCAGCAGCAGCAUUUGUUCCGUUUCCGGCUGGCCUAUAUUGCCUUCUCAUCGCGGUAUACUUGAAAUCAAUCUUUGCCUAUCCGAUGGAAAA